This 253-nucleotide ribosomal RNA is filed under the name uncultured bacterium. RNAcentral's name for it is "partial 16S ribosomal RNA". It matches the Rfam family "Bacterial small subunit ribosomal RNA", at positions 524 to 776 of the family's 1533-position model. The record is from RNAcentral. RNAcentral also lists the same sequence under 1 other name.
UACAGAGGGGGCAAGCGUUAUUCGGAAUUAUUGGGCGUAAAGGGCGCGUAGGCGGCUUCGCAAGUGGAUGGUGAAAUCCCUCGGCUUAACCGAGGAAUUGCCGUCCAAACUGCGUUGCUUGAGGCCGGGAGAGGCGAGUGGAAUUCCCAGUGUAGCGGUGAAAUGCGUAGAUAUUGGGAGGAACACCAGUGGCGAAGGCGGCUCGCUGGACCGGUUCUGACGCUGAUGCGCGAAAGCGUGGGGAGCAAACGGG